This 653-nucleotide ribosomal RNA is filed under the name Staphylococcus aureus. RNAcentral describes it as "partial 23S ribosomal RNA". It matches the Rfam family "Bacterial large subunit ribosomal RNA", at positions 1354 to 2002 of the family's 2925-position model. The record is from RNAcentral. Lineage: Bacteria; Bacillati; Bacillota; Bacilli; Caryophanales; Staphylococcaceae.
CCAGAGGAAGGCUCGUCCGCUCUGGGUUAGUCGGGUCCUAAGCUGAGGCCGACAGGCGUAGGCGAUGGAUAACAGGUUGAUAUUCCUGUACCACCUAUAAUCGUUUUAAUCGAUGGGGGGACGCAGUAGGAUAGGCGAAGCGUGCGAUUGGAUUGCACGUCUAAGCAGUAAGGCUGAGUAUUAGGCAAAUCCGGUACUCGUUAAGGCUGAGCUGUGAUGGGGAGAAGACAUUGUGUCUUCGAGUCGUUGAUUUCACACUGCCGAGAAAAGCCUCUAGAUAGAAAAUAGGUGCCCGUACCGCAAACCGACACAGGUAGUCAAGAUGAGAAUUCUAAGGUGAGCGAGCGAACUCUCGUUAAGGAACUCGGCAAAAUGACCCCGUAACUUCGGGAGAAGGGGUGCUCUUUAGGGUUAACGCCCAGAAGAGCCGCAGUGAAUAGGCCCAAGCGACUGUUUAUCAAAAACACAGGUCUCUGCUAAACCGUAAGGUGAUGUAUAGGGGCUGACGCCUGCCCGGUGCUGGAAGGUUAAGAGGAGUGGUUAGCUUCUGCGAAGCUACGAAUCGAAGCCCCAGUAAACGGCGGCCGUAACUAUAACGGUCCUAAGGUAGCGAAAUUCCUUGUCGGGUAAGUUCCGACCCGCACGAAAGGCGU